UGGUGAGGGAAUAGGAAUCUUAAGGGGAUCCAAGCGCUUGUAGACAAGUUAGUUUCUCAAGAUAAAAAUGACUUGCCCUUUAUGCAAUGGAAAAAGAAGUUGAAUUCUGAGCCAUGCCUAGAGCCAUCUCAGCCAACAGUAAACGUGACAAGACCCUCAUUGUCUAUCUCCUUCAGUCUCUCCUCAAUCACUUUUUUUUAUUUAUAUGUGUAUGUAUGUAACACUAUUCUUCAAUGAGUUUCUAACUCUUAGGGAGUUUGAAAAAGUAAAGUAUAGGGAACAGAAAAAGAGAGAGACAAGUGACACAGGUGUACUCUCUUGAAAAUUGGAGUUACGUCAUUGUUUGUGGAGCCUAUGUUAGCCAUGCUUGUCAGAUUGAUUAGUAUUGUUGAAAAAGCUUCUGCAGAACACUUUGUAUUGGUAGUGCACUUUAAGAAGACUUGUAUACUCAACAGAUUCACACAAUUUAGAACUGAAAGAAAAUAGUUCUAUGACUCCACUUUUAAACUAUUGUUGAAUCAUUCACUGGUACAACUAUUUAUUUCUUUUUUCUUUCUGAUUGUCUUGAUUUAUAUAACUUUACCAAUUUUACUUUA
Molecule: long non-coding RNA, 596 nt
Organism: Vigna angularis (adzuki bean)
Lineage: Eukaryota; Viridiplantae; Streptophyta; Magnoliopsida; Fabales; Fabaceae
Exons: 2
Source: RefSeq, a predicted model, not a curated record